GACGGAGGGUGCAAGCGUUAUUCGGAAUUAUUGGGCGUAAAGAGUGUGUAGGCGGCCGGUUAAGUCAGGCGUGAAAGCCCAGGGCUCAACCCUGGAAGUGCGUUUGAAACUGGCUGGCUUGAGUUCGGGAGAGGGAAGCGGAAUUCCGGGUGUAGAGGUGAAAUUCGUAGAGAUCCGGAGGAACAUCGGUGGCGAAGGCGGCUUCCUGGACCGAAACUGACGAUGAGACACGAAAGCGUGGGGAGCAAACAGG
RNAcentral lists this ribosomal RNA (253 nucleotides) under uncultured bacterium. RNAcentral's name for it is "partial 16S ribosomal RNA". It matches the Rfam family "Bacterial small subunit ribosomal RNA", at positions 524 to 776 of the family's 1533-position model. The record is from RNAcentral.